CCUACGGGAGGCAGCAGUGGGGAAUAUUGCACAAUGGGGGAAACCCUGAUGCAGCAACGCCGCGUGGAGGAUGACGCAUUUCGGUGUGUAAACUCCUUUUAUAAGGGAAGAUAAUGACGGUACCUUAUGAAUAAGCACCGGCUAACUCCGUGCCAGCAGCCGCGGUAAUAA
Molecule: ribosomal RNA, 171 nt
Filed under: uncultured Sulfurospirillum sp.
Lineage: Bacteria; Pseudomonadati; Campylobacterota; Epsilonproteobacteria; Campylobacterales; Sulfurospirillaceae
Description: partial 16S ribosomal RNA
Rfam family: Bacterial small subunit ribosomal RNA
Source: RNAcentral